GGAUUUUACUGAGGACCAACCAGCUACUCUGCCAUCUUCCUAGAAGUUCAAGCAGACACAUUUUUAACAGCAGACAGGAAUUUAUAGGAUGAAAGAGCUAGAGCUAGAAGGGACUUUAGAGAUCCAACUCCCCUGGCUCAUGGAGGUUCUGCAGAAUACUGGUCUGAGCCUGGACUGAGCUUGCUGUGUGAUUGUUGGACAAGAUGGAGCCAAUGUGGAGGCACAGGCGAAGAAGAAA
Molecule: long non-coding RNA, 238 nt
Filed under: Monodelphis domestica (gray short-tailed opossum)
Lineage: Eukaryota; Metazoa; Chordata; Mammalia; Didelphimorphia; Didelphidae
Description: lncRNA (ENSMODG00000039614.1)
Source: RNAcentral